This 429-nucleotide ribosomal RNA is filed under the name Pseudomonadota bacterium. Its description in RNAcentral is "Proteobacteria bacterium partial 16S ribosomal RNA". It matches the Rfam family "Bacterial small subunit ribosomal RNA", at positions 355 to 776 of the family's 1533-position model. The record is from RNAcentral. Lineage: Bacteria; Pseudomonadati; Pseudomonadota.
UGGGGAAUAUUGGACAAUGGGCGAAAGCCUGAUCCAGCCAUGCCGCGUGUGUGAAGAAGGUCUUCGGAUUGUAAAGCACUUUAAGUUGGGAGGAAGGGCAGUAAGCGAAUACCUUGCUGUUUUGACGUUACCGACAGAAUAAGCACCGGCUAACUCUGUGCCAGCAGCCGCGGUAAUACAGAGGGUGCAAGCGUUAAUCGGAAUUACUGGGCGUAAAGCGCACGUAGGUGGUUCGUUAAGUUGAAUGUGAAAGCCCCGGGCUCAACCUGGGAACUGCAUCCAAAACAGGCGAGCUAGAGUAGGGCAGAGGGUGGUGGAAUUUCCUGUGUAGCGGUGAAAUGCGUAGAUAUAGGAAGGAACACCAGUGGCGAAGGCGACCACCUGGGCUCAUACUGACACUGAGGUGCGAAAGCGUGGGGAGCAAACAGG